This 502-nucleotide ribosomal RNA is filed under the name uncultured bacterium. RNAcentral's name for it is "partial 16S ribosomal RNA". It matches the Rfam family "Bacterial small subunit ribosomal RNA", at positions 28 to 507 of the family's 1533-position model. The record is from RNAcentral.
GACGAACGCUGGCGGCGUGCCUAAUACAUGCAAGUCGAACGAACCGCGACUAGGUGCUUGCACUUGGUCAAGGUGAGUGGCGAACGGGUGAGUAACACGUGGGUAACCUACCUCAUAGUGGGGGAUAACAGUCGGAAACGACUGCUAAUACCGCAUAGGACAUAGGAUCACAUGAUCCAUUGAGGAAAGGUGGCGCAAGCUAUCGCUAAGAGAUGGACCCGCGGUGCAUUAGUUAGUUGGUAGGGUAAAGGCCUACCAAGGCGAUGAUGCAUAGCCGACCUGAGAGGGUGAUCGGCCACAUUGGGACUGAGACACGGCCCAAACUCCUACGGGAGGCAGCAGUAGGGAAUCUUCCGCAAUGGACGCAAGUCUGACGGAGCAACGCCGCGUGAGUGAAGAAGGUCUUCGGAUCGUAAAGCUCUGUUGUUAGAGAAGAACAGCGCAUAGAGUAACUGUUAUGCGUGUGACGGUAUCUAACCAGAAAGCCACGGCUAACUACGUG